Molecule: long non-coding RNA, 413 nt
Filed under: Rattus norvegicus (Norway rat)
Lineage: Eukaryota; Metazoa; Chordata; Mammalia; Rodentia; Muridae
Description: long non-coding RNA NONRATT013163
Source: RNAcentral
CGGCCGCGCGGUCUCGCAAGCGUCAAAAAAUCCCCGCGCCUUCCGUGAAAGCAACAUGGCAGCCCGGACUGCAACCCCUCAAACACCGGGAACGCCAGCGGAUCGCGCCCGCCCCCGGGUGUCCUGUCCGUGCUGCCCCCCGCCCGCAGUCCACCGUGCCUAGAGUGGCUCAAGAAUCGCCCUUUGUUCUCCGCCGGGUGGCCGACUCUCGCUCCUGGGGAUCCUGAUUGGGUUUCUGGUGCAAGGCGCUCCUGAAUCCUGAGUCCUAGACGGCAUGUAAAAAAAGGAUUGCUUUCUUGCUGGGUCACCAAACAGCAUAACAACAAGAACAACCGAAGAGAAUGUAAUAUGGGCGUCAGCGGAGAGUAACAAAGGAUGGCCCACUGUCUACCCACUGCAGAACACCUCCAGUU